AACGGAAAGGCCUGCAGCUUGCUGCGGGUACUCGAGUGGCGAACGGGUGAGUAACACGUGGGUGAUCUGCCUUGCACUUCGGGAUAAGCUUGGGAAACUGGGUCUAAUACCGGAUAGGACAGCUGUUUAGUGUCAGUUGUGGAAAGUUUUUUCGGUGCAAGAUGAGCUCGCGGCCUAUCAGCUUGUUGGUGGGUAAUGGCCUACCAAGGCGUCGACGGGUAGCCGGCCUGAGAGGGUGUACGGCCACAUUGGGACUGAGAUACGGCCCAGACUCCUACGGGAGGCAGCAGUGGGGAAUAUUGCACAAUGGGCGGAAGCCUGAUGCACGACGCCGCGUGGGGGCAUGAAGGCCUUCGGGUUGUAAACUCCUUUCGACAGGGACGAAGCGUAAGUGACGGUACCUGUAUAAGAAGCACCGGCUAACUACGUGCCAGCACCCGGUAAUACGUAGGGUGCGAGCGUUGUCCGGAAUUACUGGGCGUAAAGAGCUCGUAGGUGGUUUGUCGCGUCGUCUGUGAAAUUCCGGGGCUUAACUCCGGGCGUGCAGGCGAUACGGGCUGACUUGAGUGCUGUAGGGGAGACUGGAAUUCCUGGUGUACGGUGAAAUGCGCAGAUAUCAGGAGGAACACCGAUGGCGAAGGCAGGUCUCUGGGCAGUAACUGACGCUGAGGAGCGAAAGCAUGGGUAGCGAACAGGAUUAGAUACCCUGGUAGUCCAUGCCGUAAACGGUGGGCCCUAGGUGUAGGGGGCUUCCACGUCUUCUGUGCCGUAGCUAACGCAUUAAGCGCCCCGCCUGGGGUAAUCGCCG
This 808-nucleotide ribosomal RNA is filed under the name uncultured Actinomycetes bacterium. Its description in RNAcentral is "bacterial SSU rRNA". It matches the Rfam family "Bacterial small subunit ribosomal RNA", at positions 65 to 887 of the family's 1533-position model. The record is from RNAcentral. Lineage: Bacteria; Bacillati; Actinomycetota; Actinomycetes.